AUUGAACGCUGGCGGCAGGCCUAACACAUGCAAGUCGAGCGGAUGACGGGAGCUUGCUCCUUGAUUCAGCGGCGGACGGGUGAGUAAUGCCUAGGAAUCUGCCUGGUAGUGGGGGACAACGUUUCGAAAGGAACGCUAAUACCGCAUACGUCCUACGGGAGAAAGCAGGGGACCUUCGGGCCUUGCGCUAUCAGAUGAGCCUAGGUCGGAUUAGCUAGUUGGGGGGUAAUGGCACACCAAGGCGACGAUCCGUAACUGGUCUGAGAGGAUGAUCAGUCACACUGGAACUGAGACACGGUCCAGACUCCUACGGGAGGCAGCAGCGGGGAAUAUUGGACAAUGGGCGAAAGCCUGAUCCAGCCAUGCCGCGUGUGUGAAGAAGGUCUUCGGAUUGUAAAGCACUUUAAGUUGGGAGGAAGGGCAGUAAGCUAAUACCUUGCUGUUUUGACGUUACCGACAGAAUAAGCACCGGCUAACUCUGUGCCAGCAGCCGCCGUAA
This 499-nucleotide ribosomal RNA is filed under the name uncultured bacterium. RNAcentral describes it as "partial 16S ribosomal RNA". It matches the Rfam family "Bacterial small subunit ribosomal RNA", at positions 30 to 523 of the family's 1533-position model. The record is from RNAcentral.